RNAcentral lists this transfer RNA (72 nucleotides) under Camelus ferus (Wild Bactrian camel). It matches the Rfam family "tRNA". From Rfam's summary of the family: Transfer RNA (tRNA) molecules are approximately 80 nucleotides in length. Their secondary structure includes four short double-helical elements and three loops (D, anti-codon, and T loops). Further hydrogen bonds mediate the characteristic L-shaped molecular structure. tRNAs have two regions of fundamental functional importance: the anti-codon, which is responsible for specific mRNA codon recognition, and the 3' end, to which the tRNAs corresponding amino acid is attached (by aminoacyl-tRNA synthetases). tRNAs cope with the degeneracy of the genetic code in two manners: having more than one tRNA (with a specific anti-codon) for a particular amino acid; and 'wobble' base-pairing, i.e. permitting non-standard base-pairing at the 3rd anti-codon position. Lineage: Eukaryota; Metazoa; Chordata; Mammalia; Artiodactyla; Camelidae. The record is from Rfam by way of RNAcentral.
GGGGGUAUGGCUCAGUAGUAGAGCACGUGCUCGGUGUGCACAAGGUCCUGGCUUCAACCCCCAGUACGCCCA